AACGACUCUCGGCAACGGAUAUCUCGGCUCUCGCAUCGAUGAAGAACGCAGCGAAAUGCGAUACUUGGUGUGAAUUGCAGGAUCCCGCGAACCAUCGAGUCUUUGAACGCAAGUUGCGCCCGAAGCCUUGGCCGAGGGCACGUCUGCCUGGGUGUCACUC
This 160-nucleotide ribosomal RNA is filed under the name Euphorbia kamponii. RNAcentral describes it as "5.8S ribosomal RNA". It matches the Rfam family "5.8S ribosomal RNA". Rfam says of the family: 5.8S ribosomal RNA (5.8S rRNA) is a component of the large subunit of the eukaryotic ribosome. The record is from RNAcentral. Lineage: Eukaryota; Viridiplantae; Streptophyta; Magnoliopsida; Malpighiales; Euphorbiaceae.